AAAGUUUCAAGCCGGAGAGCCGUUCACCUCAGUCAGCCCGGUCGGUCCUACUCUUCAGUCUCAUCUCGCUGGAAUAGUGUUGUCAUGUGUGAAGAUCUACACGAAAUUGAGACUUCUGGCACAGUGGCCUGCACUGUUCGAAGUCUGUAAGAUCAGUGCUGAAUUCAAAAUAAUCACCACAGUUCCCCUGCAAUCCAAGCAACUGUUGCUGAAUUGGCUGAUUUGUACAAGAUGCACCAUUUCUGAGGACUUCUGGCACAGUGGCCUGCAC
Engraulis encrasicolus (European anchovy) is the source of this 271-nucleotide long non-coding RNA. RefSeq lists it as uncharacterized. The record is from RefSeq and is a predicted model, not a curated record. The transcript has 4 exons. Lineage: Eukaryota; Metazoa; Chordata; Actinopteri; Clupeiformes; Engraulidae.